This 497-nucleotide ribosomal RNA is filed under the name uncultured bacterium. RNAcentral describes it as "partial 16S ribosomal RNA". It matches the Rfam family "Bacterial small subunit ribosomal RNA", at positions 28 to 507 of the family's 1533-position model. The record is from RNAcentral.
GAUGAACGCUGGCGGCGUGCCUAAUACAUGCAAGUCGAGCGAACGGACGAGAAGCUUGCUUCUCUGAUGUUAGCGGCGGACGGGUGAGUAACACGUGGAUAACCUACCUAUAAGACUGGGAUAACUUCGGGAAACCGGAGCUAAUACCGGAUAAUAUUUUGAACCGCAUGGUUCAAAAGUAAAAGACGGUCUUGCUGUCACUUAUAGAUGGAUCCGCGCUGCAUUAGCUAGUUGGUAAGGUAACGGCUUACCAAGGCAACGAUGCAUAGCCGACCUGAGAGGGUGAUCGGCCACACUGGAGCUGAGACACGGUCCAGACUCCUACGGGAGGCAGCAGUAGGGAAUCUUCCGCAAUGGGCGAAAGCCUGACGGAGCAACGCCGCGUGAGUGAUGAAGGUCUUCGGAUCGUAAAACUCUGUUAUUAGGGAAGAACAUAUGUGUAAGUAACUGUGCACAUCUUGACGGUACCUAAUCAGAAAGCCACGGCUAACUACGUG